UUGAAAGUGUGUUAUAUCGACUAGAGGGGGGGUGAAUAGGAGAUUUUUAGAAUUUCAUCACUGAGGAAAUUCCUUUUGAGGAAAUUCCUCACUGAUGAAUAACUUGCAGCGGAAACAACAAAGGAUCAAGAGUGCAUAGUAUUACUAUAACAGUUUUCUCGAUGAGGAAUAUGAAAAACAGUUUGCACAGUACGCAGGAACAGAGUAGACAGGUGAGGAUUAACUAGUGUGAAGAAUUUGAGGUUGAGGAAAUUCAGAGAAAGUCUUCAGCAAAUUCUUCAAACAGAUACAAUGAAAAUCUUUAACAUACAAUAUUGAGGAAUUGAAAGAGUUGAAGAAAUAGAACCCGUAUCACAGUGAAGACAGUGGUUAAUGACCCAGUUCCAACUGCUGUGACAGUCGUACGUGUGGUUUGGAGCGGCUUGGUAUUGAAACCCAAAGACACACAAUCCCGGGACACGCAGUCCCUACCGUAUUCUACUUGAGCUAAGGACACACAGUCCACGCCCAACACUCGUGGUAAGUCUUCAGGGA
Molecule: long non-coding RNA, 534 nt
Filed under: Hordeum vulgare
Lineage: Eukaryota; Viridiplantae; Streptophyta; Magnoliopsida; Poales; Poaceae
Description: long non-coding RNA (HVUL_LNC012622)
Source: RNAcentral